GAUGAAGAACGUAGCGAAAUGCGAUACUUGGUGUGAAUUGCAGAAUCCCGUGAACCAUCGAGUCUUUGAACGCAAGUUGCGCCUCAAGCCAUUAGGUUGAGGGCACGUCUGCCUGGGCGUCACAUAUCGUUGCCUGAUGCCAGUUUCCUCGUGAUGGGUGACUGUGCAGGGCGAAUGAUGGCUUCCCGUGAGCAUUGUUGCCUCAUGGUUGGUUGAAAAUUGAGUCCUUGGUAGGGAGCGCCGUGAUAGAUGGUGGUUGAGUGACGAACGAGACCCAAUCAUGUGAGACCCCUACCGAAUUUGGCCUUCAUGACCCACAUGCGUCUUUGGAACGCUCAUGACGAGACCUCAGGUCAGGCGGGGCUACCCGCUGAGUUUAAGCAUAUCAAUAAGCGGAGGU
RNAcentral lists this unclassified non-coding RNA (400 nucleotides) under soil metagenome. Its description in RNAcentral is "partial contains 5.8S ribosomal RNA, internal transcribed spacer 2, and large subunit ribosomal RNA". The stretch from base 1 to 122 matches the Rfam family "5.8S ribosomal RNA", at positions 35 to 154 of the family's 154-position model. The record is from RNAcentral.